GGCCCCGUGGCGGAACGGCAGACGCAGCGGACUUAAAAUCCGCGAUCCCGCAAGGGGUGUGUGGGUUCAAAUCCCACCGGGGCCA
Molecule: transfer RNA, 85 nt
Filed under: Phycisphaeraceae bacterium
Lineage: Bacteria; Pseudomonadati; Planctomycetota; Phycisphaerae; Phycisphaerales; Phycisphaeraceae
Also listed under: 1 other name
Description: tRNA-Leu
Rfam family: tRNA
About the family: Transfer RNA (tRNA) molecules are approximately 80 nucleotides in length.
Source: RNAcentral